This 998-nucleotide long non-coding RNA is filed under the name Capra hircus (goat). RNAcentral's name for it is "lncRNA (ENSCHIG00010010595.1)". Lineage: Eukaryota; Metazoa; Chordata; Mammalia; Artiodactyla; Bovidae. The record is from RNAcentral.
GUCUUCAUUUCUUCCUGUUGAGUGAGGAAACUGCUAUGGCUGACUUGCUGGCCUUUGAAUUUGUUCGUGACAGAAAAGUGGCAGAAAAGGACAAUAGUGAUGAAGAUGGUGAAUCUUGGAAAGGACUUAGGAGCCAAAGAAUGAGCCAGGCGUGGGUUUGUGCCCAACACCAUGUGUCCUGGCUGGAGCAUCCAGGCCGAAGCUUGAUUUACAUUCAGGCUGCAUCCCUGAUUGGUGAAGCUGGACUUGCUUGUCGUCCUGAUGAGUCUGGUGAGAGCUCCCGACGAGGGGUGACAAUGAACGGGAAAACGCUGCAGAGGGCAGGGAUGGGAGGGGAAGGCUUGGGGAAUUAUCCAGGGGUUUCGUGUCAGGCAUUUGCCUGUUCAUCUUCUCCAUUUGGGCAACAACAACUUAAGCAAAGCAAGCAAAGAGGUUCACGUAAUUUUAGUGACCCCUGACAAAACUCGCGCAUCUCUGCUGGGAAGUGUGUGCUUUUCUUCCAUGCGGCAUUUGUUUUAAGUAUUUAGCUUCCCCACACAGUUGCAAGUUCAUCUAGCCAUUUUCUCUCUCGCUCUCUCCUUUUCUCUCUCUCUCCCUCAUGAAAUCACUUUAGUCAGCACAAAUUUGGAGGCAGAACCAAACCCAGUAAUAGCAUAUCUCAGACCGCUAUCAAUUUUCCGCCAGAAGAACGUUUCGGGACACAAAGUCCUUUGUCUAUUUCCAGAAGCUCGAUUCAAUGACAUUACAUGAAUGACUACAGCGCUAUAGCAUGUUCUGCACCGUUUCAAAUUGUAACCUAAAAAAAGGGAAGAACUUGGAUCGCAGCCAGAGUGUAAUGAUUUCAGUUCUUAAGAAAAUCCAGCAACCAUUACAGCACAUUCAAUAUUUUCUUGCUGUGGAAAUUUAAGAAUUGACUCUAAUCAAAUAGCAACCCCACCACCCCCAUCCUCCAUUUUCCUAUGGUUCCUGUUACUAAUAGGCCUCCCACGUCUGUUUUG